ACUCCUACGGGAGGCAGCAGUGAGGAAUAUUGGUCAAUGGACGCAAGUCUGAACCAGCCAUGUCGCGUGCAGGAAGACUGCCCCUACUGGGUUGUAAACUGCUUUUUAUACGGGAAGAAAUAUAGCUACGUGUAGUUAUUUUGCCGGGUACCGUAUGAAUAAGCAUCGGCUAACUCCGUGCCAGCAGCCGCGGUAAUACGGAGGAUGCGAGCGUUAUCCGGAUUCAUUGGGUUUAAAGGGUGCGUAGGCGGAAGUAUAAGUCAGGGGUGAAAGUUUGUGGCUCAACCAUAAAAUUGCCUUUGAUACUGUAUUUCUUGAGUACAUUUGAGGUAGGCGGAAUGUGUUGUGUAGCGGUGAAAUGCUUAGAUAUAACACAGAACACCGAUUGCGAAGGCAGCUUAC
RNAcentral lists this ribosomal RNA (402 nucleotides) under uncultured bacterium. RNAcentral describes it as "bacterial SSU rRNA". It matches the Rfam family "Bacterial small subunit ribosomal RNA", at positions 335 to 729 of the family's 1533-position model. The record is from RNAcentral.